GAUGAACGCUGGCGGCGUGCUUAACACAUGCAAGUCGAACGGAAAGGCCCGCUUGCGGGUACUCGAGCAGCGAACGGGUGAGUAACAUGUGGGCAACCUGCCCUCAGCUCUGGGAUAACUCCGGGAAACCGGUGCUAAUGCUGGAUAUGACUGCGCAUCGCAGGGUGUGUGGGGGAAAGUUUUUCGGCUGGGGAUGGGCCCGCGGCCUAGCCGCUGUUUGGUGGGGUUAUGGCCUACCAAGGCGACGACGGGUCGCCGGCCUGAGAGGGCGACCGGCCACACUGGGACUGAGACACGGCCCAGACUCCUACGGGAGGCAGCAGUGGGAAAUAUUGCGCGAUGGGCGAAAGCCUGACGCAGCGACGCCGCGUGAGGGAUGACUGCCUUCGGGUUGUAAACCUCUUUCAGCGCUGACGAAGCGAAAGUGACGGUAGGAGCAGAAGAAGCACCGGCCAACUACGUGCCAGCAGCCGCAGUAA
RNAcentral lists this ribosomal RNA (479 nucleotides) under uncultured bacterium. Its description in RNAcentral is "partial 16S ribosomal RNA". It matches the Rfam family "Bacterial small subunit ribosomal RNA", at positions 28 to 523 of the family's 1533-position model. The record is from RNAcentral.